UGGGGAAUAUUGGACAAUGGGCGCAAGCCUGAUCCAGCCAUGCCGCGUGUGUGAAGAAGGCCUUUUGGUUGUAAAGCACUUUAAGCGAGGAGGAGGCUACUUGGACUAAUACUCUAGGAUAGUGGACGUUACUCGCAGAAUAAGCACUGGCUAACUCUGUGCCAGCAGCCGCGGUAAUACAGAGGGUGCGAGCGUUAAUCGGAUUUACUGGGCGUAAAGCGUGCGUAGGCGGCUUCUUAAGUCGGAUGUGAAAUCCCUGAGCUUAACUUAGGAAUUGCAUUCGAUACUGGGAAGCUAGAGUAUGGGAGAGGAUGGUAGAAUUCCAGGUGUAGCGGUGAAAUGCGUAGAGAUCUGGAGGAAUACCGAUGGCGAAGGCAGCCAUCUGGCCUAAUACUGACGCUGAGGUAAGAAAGCAUGGGGAGCAAACAGG
RNAcentral lists this ribosomal RNA (430 nucleotides) under Acidobacteriota bacterium. Its description in RNAcentral is "Acidobacteria bacterium partial 16S ribosomal RNA". It matches the Rfam family "Bacterial small subunit ribosomal RNA", at positions 355 to 776 of the family's 1533-position model. Lineage: Bacteria; Pseudomonadati; Acidobacteriota. The record is from RNAcentral.